GGGUCGCGUAGCGCACCGCGGUGGCGCGCUCGGCCUGAAGUGCCGCGACGGCGGCGGCGACGGGUUCCCUGACCUGGGUGUCCAC
This 85-nucleotide transfer RNA is filed under the name Streptomyces fumigatiscleroticus. RNAcentral describes it as "tRNA-Phe". The record is from RNAcentral. Lineage: Bacteria; Bacillati; Actinomycetota; Actinomycetes; Kitasatosporales; Streptomycetaceae.